GGGAGCGACGCCGCGUGUAGGAUGAAGCCCUUCGGGGUGUAAACUACUUUUAUCAAGGACGAACUAAUGACGGUACUUGAUGAAUAAGGGGCUGCCAACUUCGUGCCAGCAGCAGCGGUAAUACGAAGGCCCCAAGCGUUAUCCGGAAUUACUGGGCGUAAAGCGUCUGUAGGCGGUUAGGUAAGUUAACGGUUAAAUCCUGGAGCUCAACUCCAGAACAGCCGCUAAUACUAUCUGACUAGAGGAUGGGAGAGGUCAACGGAAUUGCCGGUGUAGUAGUAAAAUGCAUUGAUAUCGGCAGGAACACCAAAAGCGAAGGCAGAUGACUGGAACAUUCCUGACGCUGAGAGACGAAAGCGUGGGUAGCGAAAGGGAUUAGAUACCCCUGUAGUCCACGCCGUAAACGAUGGAUGCUAGGUGCUGGAAGUUUCGACCCUUUCAGUGCCGGGUAGUCAAGCUAACGCCUUAAGCAUCCCGCCUGGGAAGUACGGCCGCAAGGCUAAAACUCAAAGGAAUUGACGGGGACCCGCACAAGCGGUGGAGCAUGUGGUUUAAUUCGACGAUAAGCGGAGAACCUCACCAAGGUUUGACAUCUCUGGAAGUUUUUAGAAAUAAAAAUGUGCCUUCGGGAACCAGAUGACAGGUGCUGCAUGGUUGCCGUCAGCUCGUGUCGUGAGAUGUACGGUUAAGUCCGGCAACGAGCGCAACCCUCGUCCUAUGUUAUAUUUUUCAUAGGAGACUGCCAGCUUUAAGCUGGAGGAAGGUGGGGACGACGUCAAAUCAGCAUGGCCCUUAUACCUUGGGCUACACACGUGCUACAAUGGGUAAGACAACGGGCAGCUAAGCCGCAAGGUGUAGCGAAUCCCUUAAACUUAUCCUCAGUUCGGAUUGAGGUCUGCAACUCGACCUCAUGAAGUUGGAAUCGC
Molecule: ribosomal RNA, 926 nt
Filed under: uncultured Parcubacteria group bacterium
Lineage: Bacteria
Description: bacterial SSU rRNA
Rfam family: Bacterial small subunit ribosomal RNA
Source: RNAcentral